GACGAACGCUGGCGGCGUGCUUAACACAUGCAAGUCGAACGGAAAGGCCCUGCUUUUGUGGGGUGCUCGAGUGGCGAACGGGUGAGUAACACGUGAGUAACCUGCCCUUGACUUUGGGAUAACUUCACGAAACUGGGGCUAAUACCGGAUAGGAUCUCCUGCUGCAUGGUGGGGGUUGGAAAUUUUCGGCGGUUGUGGAUGGACUCGCGGCUUAUCAGCUUGUUGGUGGGGUAGUGGCUUACCAAGGCUUUGACGGGUAGCCGGCCUGAGAGGGUGACCGGGGACAAUGGGACUGAGGUACGGAGCAGAGGCGAACGGGAGGCAGCAGUGGGGAAUAUUACACAAUGAGCGGGAGCCUGAUGAAGCAGCGCCGCGGGCGGAAUGACGGCCUUCGGGUUGUGAACCGCUUUAGCCUGUGACGAAGCGGGAGUGACGGUAAUGGGUAAAGAAGCACCGGCUAACUACGUG
Molecule: ribosomal RNA, 468 nt
Filed under: uncultured bacterium
Lineage: Bacteria
Description: partial 16S ribosomal RNA
Rfam family: Bacterial small subunit ribosomal RNA
Source: RNAcentral